GCCUACGACCAUAUCACCCUGAAUGCGCCCGAUCUCGUCUGAUCUCGGAAGCUAAGCAUGGUCGAGCCUGGUUAGCACUUGGAUGGGAGACUGCCUGGGAAUACCAGGUGUUGUAGGCU
Molecule: ribosomal RNA, 119 nt
Filed under: Petromyzon marinus (sea lamprey)
Lineage: Eukaryota; Metazoa; Chordata; Hyperoartia; Petromyzontiformes; Petromyzontidae
Source: RNAcentral